GGACUGCGGCGCACUUCCGUAGAGGUGGACAUGGCGUGCGGCUUUCGCCGCGCUAUUGCUUGCCAGGUAUGGAUCCCGGAGCGCGCAGAGGAGUCCCUGAGGAGCUAGGGACCCCAAAGGCCUUUCACCGCUGCGGGCCAGUCCUCAGUCAGCUGGAGGGUGGGUCCCACGGAAUCCUGUUAGUUUCUACCACCUCCUCCCCCUUCUCUGGAGCUGGUGGAGCUUCAGAAGUCCUGUGGAGCGUCGGCUGGGAUCAGUUUGUCUCGGUGAAAAGUAAACUUUGAAAGCACCAGCAAAGUGCCCGAAACAUAAGUGUUUAAUGUGUAUUUGAAGAAUGAAUACCUGAGUAUCUCUGUUGUGAUCUCAUAUAAAAUAUGCAGCUUCACUGAAUGAGUUCAUAAUUUUAAAUCUAUGGAGAUGACGUGGUGUGGUGGCUAAAGGAACUCCAUCUUGGAUGCUAAUCUGCCAUGUUGACUUUUGAUUAUCCCCAGUUCCAGGAAUACCUCUUUCCAGAGUGUUGAAUCUUCCACCAGAAAACUUGAUCACAUCAAUAUCUGCAGUUCCAAUUUCCCAAAAAGAAGAAGUAGCUGAUUUUCAGCUUUCUGUGGAUUCUUUAUUGGAAAAAGACAAUGACCAUUCAAGACCAGAUAUUCAAGUUCAAGCCAAGAGACUAGCAGAGAAGCUAAGAUGUGAUACAGUGGUGAGUGAAAUCAGUACUGGUCAAAGGACUGUAAAUUUCAAAAUAAACAGAGAGCUCUUAACAAAGACAGUGCUACAACAAGUAAUUGAAGAUGGCUCAAAAUAUGGAUUAAAAAGUGAACUUUUCUCUGGACUUCCCCAGAAGAAGAUUGUGGUUGAAUUCAGUUCACCUAAUGUUGCCAAAAAAUUUCAUGUUGGACAUUUGCGUUCUACCAUCAUAGGAAAUUUUAUAGCAAAUCUCAAAGAAGCUUUAGGACAUCAAGUAAUAAGAAUAAAUUACCUUGGCGAUUGGGGCAUGCAGUUUGGUCUUCUGGGAACUGGCUUCCAGCUGUUUGGCUAUGAGGAAAAACUGCAGUCCAAUCCUCUACAGCAUCUCUUUGAAGUUUAUGUACAAGUUAAUAAAGAAGCAGCAGAUGAUAAAAGUGUAGCAAAAGCAGCACAGGAGUUCUUCCAACGAUUGGAACUGGGCGAUGUGCAAGCACUUUCACUGUGGCAAAAAUUUCGGGACUUGAGCAUUGAAGAGUACAUUCGGGUUUACAAGCGUCUGGGAGUAUAUUUUGAUGAAUAUUCAGGAGAAUCAUUUUAUCGUGAAAAAUCUCAAGAGGUCUUAAAGUUGCUGGAGAGUAAAGGACUCCUACUGAAAACAAUAAAAGGAACGGCUGUAGUAGAUCUCUCUGGGAAUGGCGACCCCUCCUCAAUUUGUACUGUAAUGCGAAGUGAUGGGACUUCUCUCUAUGCAACCAGAGAUCUUGCAGCUGCUAUAGAUCGAAUGGACAAGUAUAAUUUUGAUACAAUGAUAUAUGUGACAGAUAAAGGACAAAAAAAGCAUUUUCAGCAAGUAUUCCAAAUGCUGAAGAUCAUGGGAUAUGACUGGGCAGAAAGGUGCCAGCACGUGCCCUUUGGAGUAGUACAGGGAAUGAAGACUCGAAGAGGAGAUGUCACUUUCCUGGAAGAUGUUUUAAAUGAGAUUCAAUUAAGGAUGCUACAGAACAUGGCUUCAAUUAAGACAACUAAAGAACUCAAGAACCCACAAGAGACUGCAGAGAGGGUCGGGCUCGCAGCACUCAUUAUUCAGGACUUCAAAGGUUUACUCUUAUCUGACUACAAGUUCAGCUGGGAUCGUGUUUUCCAGAGUCGCGGGGACACAGGAGUCUUCCUACAGUACACACACGCCCGCCUCCACAGGGAUCAUCAAGUGUGCUUCUGCUUAUCAAAAUGGCUAUUAGCAUUUUUGCUGCCCAGUAGAGUCAACAGUCCAGUAGCUGCCUUCUGCCUCUAGACUUUUCCCAAAGGUUCGACGAGGUGCUUUAUAAAUCAUCUCAGGACUUUCAACCCAGGCAUAUCGUCAGUUACCUUCUAACUUUAAGUCAUCUUGCAGCUGUGGCACACAAAACACUACAAAUAAAAGAUAGUCCUCCUGAAGUGGCUGGGGCCAGACUUCAUCUUUUCAAAGCUGUCCGUUCUGUCCUAGCCAAUGGAAUGAAACUUCUUGGAAUAACACCUGUAUGUAGGAUGUAAUUUCCAUUAAAAUGGCUUUUAAAAUGUCAAGUGAAUUCUAGUUAUCUAUUCUGAGAUGCCUUGCUGUUCAGAAUAAAUUUAAAUUUUUUUUUUUUUUUUUUGAGAUGGAGUUUCGCUCUUGUUGCCCAGGCUGGAGUGCAAUGGUGUGAUGUUGGCUCACUGCAACCUCCACCUCCCAGGUUCAAGCAAUUCUCCUGCCUCAGCCUCCUGAGUAGCUGGGAUUACAGGCACGUGCCAUCACGCCAGGCUAAUUUUGUAUUUUUAGUAGAGACAGGGUUUCUCUAUGUUGGUCAGGCUGGUCUUGCACUCCCGACCUCAGGUUAUCUGUCUGCCUUGGCCUCCCAAAGUGUUGGGAUUAGAGGCAUGAACCACCACGCCCAGCCAAAGUUAAACUAUUAUUCUGUGUCAGAAUCUGUAUUAAAUGUGACUUGUCAAGUUAUUCAGUCUUUAUCCUUAAAUAAAUGAGUUAUCUGAA
RNA transcript from Homo sapiens (human), 2692 nucleotides. It is a transcript of the gene named arginyl-tRNA synthetase 2, mitochondrial, with no coding region annotated. The record is from RefSeq and is marked reviewed. The transcript is spliced from 21 exons. Lineage: Eukaryota; Metazoa; Chordata; Mammalia; Primates; Hominidae.